RNAcentral lists this long non-coding RNA (1521 nucleotides) under Gallus gallus (chicken). RNAcentral describes it as "lncRNA (ENSGALG00010000420.1)". Lineage: Eukaryota; Metazoa; Chordata; Aves; Galliformes; Phasianidae. The record is from RNAcentral.
GGAGAGGAGAGGAGAGGAGAGGAGAGGAGAGGAGGAAGGUGAAGAUGAGAGGUGAGGAGGAAGAUGAGGAGGAAGGUAAAGAGGAAGGAGAGGAGGAAGACGAGGAAGGUGAGGAGAGGAGGGAGGUGAGGACGGAGGAGAGGAGGAAGGCUGGGAGGAAGAAGAGAAGGAAGGCAAGGAGGAAGGAGAGGAGGAAGAGGAGAGGAGGAAAGCAAGAAGGAAGGGGAGGAGGAAGACGAGGAGAGGAGAGGGGUGAGGAGGAAGAAGAGGAGAGGAGGAAGACAAGGAGGAAGGUGAAGAGGAAGGUGGAGGGGAAGGAGAGGAGGAAGGUGAGGAGAGGAGAGAAGUGAGGAGGAAGAAGAGGAGGAAGGCAAGGAGGAAGGGGAGGAGGAAGAGGAGAAGAGGAAGGCAAGGAGGAAGAUGAAGAGGUAGAUGAGGGCAGGAGAGAGGUGAGGAGGAAGAUGAGGAGGAAGAAGAGAAGGAAGAAGAGGACGGAGAAGAGGAGAGGAGGAAGACAAGGAGGAAGGUGAGGAGGAAGGUAGAGGGGAAGGAGAGGAGGAGGAAGGAGAGGAAAGGAGGAAGGAGAGCAGGAAGGUGAAGGUGAGGAAGAUGAGUAGAGGAGGAAGAAGAGGAUGGAGAAGAGGAGAGGAGGAAGGUGAGAAGGAAGGGGAGGAGGAAGAUGAGAGGAGAGGGGUGAGGAGGAAGAAGAGGAGGAAGAUGAGGAGGGAGAAGAGGAGAGGAGGAAGGCAAGGAGGAAGGCGAAGAGGAAGGUGGAGGGGAAGGAGAGGAGGAAGGUGAGGACAGGAGAGAGGUGAGGAGGAAGGAGAGGAGGAAGACGACAAAGAUGAGGAGGAAGGAGAGGAGGGAGAAGAGGAGAGGAGGAAGGCAAGGAGGAAAGUGAGGAGGAAGGUGAGGAGGAGGAAGGUGAGGAGGAGGAAAGAGAGGACAGGAAAGGAGGAGAAAGGUGAGGAGAGGAGGAAGGAGAGGAGGAAGAUGAGGAGGAAGGAGAGGACGGAGAAGAGGAGAGGAGGAAGACAAGGAAGAAGGCAAAGAGGAAGGUAAAGAGCAAGGAGUGGAGGAAGAUGAGGAGGAAGAAGAGAAGGAAGACAAGGAGGAAGGAGAGGAGGAAGAUGAGGAGAGAGGUGAGGAGGAAGAUAAGGAGGAAGGAGAGGAGGAAGAUGAGGAGAGAGGUGAGGAGGAAGAAGAGGAGGAAGAAGGGAAGGAAGGAGAGGAGGAAGAUGAGGAGAGAGGUGAGGAGGAAGAUGAGGAGGAAGAAGAGAAGGAAGAGGAGGAAGAAGAGGAGAGAGGUGAGGAGGAAGAUGAGGAGGAAGAAGAGAAGGAAGAGGAGGAAGAAGAGGAGGAAGAAGAGGAGGAGGAAGAAGCAGAGGGGAGUAAAGGAGGAGAAAGGUGAGGAGAGGGGGAGGGAGAGGAGGAAGAUGAGGAGGAAGGCGAAGAGGAAAGUGGGAAGGAGAGGAAGAAGGCGAGGAGGAAGAAGAGGAGGAAGAAGAGAAGGAAGGAGAG